Molecule: unclassified non-coding RNA, 377 nt
Filed under: uncultured Pseudobdellovibrionaceae bacterium
Lineage: Bacteria; Pseudomonadati; Bdellovibrionota; Bdellovibrionia; Bdellovibrionales; Pseudobdellovibrionaceae
Description: uncultured Bdellovibrionaceae bacterium contains 16S-23S intergenic spacer region
Source: RNAcentral
UCCUGCUUAACGCAGGCAGUCCCAGUAGAGUGUCCAACUAAAUGCUGACAACUACUGGUAAGGGUUGCGCUCGUUGCGGGACUUAACCCAACAUCUCACGACACGAGCUGACGACAGCCAUGCAGCACCUGUGAAUCGACCCUUGCGGGCGAGGACAUCUCUGCCACUCUUCCAAUUCAUGUCAAGCCCAGGUAAGGUUCUUCGCGUUGCAUCGAAUUAAACCACAUGCUCCACCGCUUGUGCGGGCCCCCGUCAAUUUCUUUGAGUUUUAAUCUUGCGACCGUACUCCCCAGGCGGGAUACUUAACGCGUUAGCUCCGUCACUAGAGGGGUCAAUACCUCUAACAACAAGUAUCCAUCGUUUACAGCGUGGACUAC